CUACGUGCCAGCAGCCGCGGUAAUACGUAGGGUGCGAGCGUUGUCCGGAAUUACUGGGCGUAAAGAGCUCGUAGGUGGUUUGUUGCGUCGUCUGUGAAAUUCCGGGGCUUAACUUCGGGGUGGCAGGCGAUACGGGCAUAACUAGAGUGCUGUAGGGGAGACUGGAAUUCCUGGUGUAGCGGUGGAAUGCGCAGAUAUCAGGAGGAACACCGAUGGCGAAGGCAGGUCUCUGGGCAGUAACUGACGCUGAGGAGCGAAAGCAUGGGGAGCGAACAGGAUUAGAUACCCUGGUAGUCCACGCCGUAAACGAUGAGUGCUAGGUGUUAGACCCUUUCCGGGGUUUAGUGCCGCAGCUAACGCAUUAAGCACUCCGCCUGGGGAGUACGACCGCAAGGUUGAAACUCAAAGGAAUUGACGGGGGCCCGCACAAGCGGUGGAGCAUGUGGUUUAAUUCGAAGCAACGCGAAGAACCUUACCAGGUCUUGACAUCCCUCUGACCGCUCUAGAGAUAGAGUUUUC
RNAcentral lists this ribosomal RNA (519 nucleotides) under uncultured bacterium. RNAcentral describes it as "bacterial SSU rRNA". It matches the Rfam family "Bacterial small subunit ribosomal RNA", at positions 501 to 1016 of the family's 1533-position model. The record is from RNAcentral.